RNAcentral lists this long non-coding RNA (1887 nucleotides) under Triticum aestivum (bread wheat). Its description in RNAcentral is "long non-coding RNA (TAES_LNC001728)". The record is from RNAcentral. Lineage: Eukaryota; Viridiplantae; Streptophyta; Magnoliopsida; Poales; Poaceae.
UUCCUCUUUGCUCAUUUCGUGUCCACACAACAUGUUCUCAUCUCUUUCUUCCUACCCCUCCCCUUCGCCAUGAGAGAAGAACCACAUAGCUCGGCACGUGCAUUCCUUUUUUUGGGUCCAUCAGCGGCGGCAUGCUCCUCCCCAUGAGAUUAGCGAUGGCGACAAGUGUUGCAACCAACACCCACCGAUGCCGGAGACAACGGAUACAAGUGCGGGAGACCCCGCGGUGGCAUGCAUUCAAGAUGUUGGAGGUACGUCGACAAAAUGCUGGAGAUCUCGGCCAGUUUAUUUUUGCUGCAACCAAGUGUGUGUUUAUUUUGCUGGAACCAACUUCAGAUUUUGGUACCAAGUAUUUGGGUUUUAUUGGAACAAACCAAAAAAUUUGCUACCAUGCUUGUUUCCCUGGUGGAAUCAGUGUAUUUCUUUUGCUACAACUGUCUUCGACUUUUGCUGGUACUAACCAAUUUUUUGCUUCCAUGUACUUUUGUGUUGGAACCAUUGUAUCACUUUUGCUACAAUCGUUUUGAUUUUUUGCUACUACCGCCUUGUUGAUUUGUUACAUCCAUUUUUUCAUGAGGUUACCGAGACCCACAACUAUGUGUUUUUUUGCUACGACCAUUGUCGAUUUUGCUACCAUCGGUGUCAACAUUUGCUGCUUUCACGCCCGUGAAAAUAAGAGCUGCAACCAAAAAUGGCGGCGAGGUGUAGCGUCAGUGCGGGGUGUUUUUCAACCAAGGUGUUGGGGGCGUUGCAAGAUUUGUUGGGGAAGUAGAUCGAGUUUUUUUGCUGCAGCCACAUCCAUGGCGAUGACUACGUUUUUUUGCUGUUAGCAAGUACAACAUCGCUCGGUUGGCCACGGAGGAGAUCUCACCGGAGCUCCUGAGCUACGACCACAAUGGCGAGGGCAUGGAAGCGGCGUGCCAGGGGAGCGUGGGGAUUUCCCUUUUUCUAUUGCGACCUAUGCGGGAAGAAGAUGACUCAAGGGAAAGCCAAAUCUAAUAGUUGUACAUGAAGGAAUCAGACAAUUGAGCGGUGCCUGGCCCAAAUUUGGGCCGGUCGACGGGCGCCUACCACUAGCCAAAGAUGAAUGGACAAAGACUAAUUUUUUUGAACCUAAACACUCAUGAUCUUUUUUCACGCAGGGAGGGGGGAGUGACCCCUGGAGUACACAUAGCUCCACCUCUGAGCUUAUCCAUGUAGAGAGUCUCUGAGCUAGAGUCUAUAGGGAUGUGUUAAGAUGCUGGGCUAUCACAGUUUGGGAUAGGGAUAAUCGUACUUUUGCAUGGAUACCUGUCAUUUGGUUGGUGGGCGAGUAGGAAUAAGGAUGGCCGGAUACUCGUAAUAUUCCCGUAAAACGAGGCUCUACUUGUCCGUGAAAAUCUCAUAGAUUUGGGCAUCCUGAGCGCAUGCACGACGCAAAGGCAGGCCGUGAAACGUUUUCUCGGUUUUAUUUUGUUCACCUCUCAAACAAAAGGACAACCCUAUCUCUUUCCGCUUUCCAUCUCUCUUUUCUCUACCGUGGUGGCUAUAGAUCGAAGCGCGACAAUUGAGAGGUGAGACACGGCGGUAUGGGUCUCUCCUUGCGUUGUUUACUUGUCAUGCCAUCUCUUCUUCCUCUAUUGAUCAUCUAUCGCAUCGGGGUUGCAAUGUUAACCCAGCAUAGGGCAUGGAGGCGGUAGACACAAGUCAAUACCGCGCGCGGCCAUCGGAGCCCUGUGGAUGGAGGCGGUUUCUCUCCGGCAGGGCAUGCGCGAUGUACUUAGCGGGGCGUGGUGUGUGUCGUAUGCGCAUGCAUGAUGUACUCACUAGGCGUGGUGUGUGUGGUCUGUGCAUGCCAUGUUGUGUGUGCGUGGUGUACUGGUGUGUACUACCUCCCCUUGAUUUUUC